GGCGCCAUAAUCUGGCGUGGGGACAGUGUCUGGUGGGUAGUUUGACUGGGGCGGUCUCCUCCCAAAGUGUAACGGAGGAGCACGAAGGUCAGCUAAUCCUGGUCGGACAUCAGGAGGUUAGUGCAAUGGCAUAAGCUGGCUUGACUGCGAGAGUGACGGCUCAAGCAGG
Molecule: ribosomal RNA, 169 nt
Filed under: Cronobacter muytjensii 530
Lineage: Bacteria; Pseudomonadati; Pseudomonadota; Gammaproteobacteria; Enterobacterales; Enterobacteriaceae
Description: Large Subunit Ribosomal RNA; lsuRNA; LSU rRNA
Rfam family: Bacterial large subunit ribosomal RNA
Source: RNAcentral